GGACUAUAUUUUGCUUUGCUGAUCAUGCCCUUUCAGUUCUAAAAGUGGCAGGUUCACUUUCAAAUGUUUAAGUUACACAAAUUCUAGCGUGAAGCUAUAACUUAAUUGUAUGAUUUGAUUUUAGGAUUUUGAUAAACUAGCUGUUUGAUAAAUGUCAGUGAGAUAUUUAUAGAAAAUUUAAUCUACAUAACUCUUGAAAAUUGAAACUUUUCUGCAAUUUAAUUAUCACUUGAAAUUAAAUGUGCAUGAUCUCAUUAAAUAAAGUAUUAAAUCUAAUGGUUGCUUGUAAAUAAUCAAAUUGUACUGAAGUUAUGAAUCUUGUACAAAUUUCUUUAGUU
RNAcentral lists this unclassified non-coding RNA (338 nucleotides) under Hevea brasiliensis (rubber tree). Lineage: Eukaryota; Viridiplantae; Streptophyta; Magnoliopsida; Malpighiales; Euphorbiaceae. The record is from RNAcentral.